AUGGAUUACGAGGCAUCCAAGUUCCUGAUCAGGCACGCCCUGUGCACCAUCGGAUACAUGCUGGAUUCGGCGUCCGGGUUGGCGCGCCUGGCUACAUGCUUCCGGCACGCGAGACCCGAGGAGCGCUGGCGUUUCCAGGGUAUCGUCGUUAAAUACGCCGUAGAAAUGGCCAUGGAACGACACAGCAACUACUUUGUGCAGCUCGUCCUCGACCAUGGCGACAUUCAGUUCAGGUGCGGCCUCGUGUACAAGCUCAUGAUGCAGUUCGCCAGCCUUUCCCUCCACCCGCACGGGAACUACCUCGUGCAGCACUGCGUCCGGAACAGAAGGACUGGUUCGCCACAGCACGAUCUGCUGCCCAUCGUGCUCAGUGCUUGUAAUCGCCAGAGCAUAAGAGAACUCCAAGGGCUGGUGCAGACCCCCCCUGCCACCUUCGUCCUCCACACGCUGCUCCAGACAGGCGAAGCUGUAACUCACUCCCGGGAGUUGACGCAGAACCUGGAGCGGAAAAUCAACGACCUCCUCUGGCGUGCCCGGAGAUACCGUCGCUGA
RNAcentral lists this ribosomal RNA (552 nucleotides) under Triticum aestivum (bread wheat). RNAcentral's name for it is "partial small subunit ribosomal RNA". Lineage: Eukaryota; Viridiplantae; Streptophyta; Magnoliopsida; Poales; Poaceae. The record is from RNAcentral.